This is a long non-coding RNA of Wyeomyia smithii (pitcher-plant mosquito), 1263 nucleotides long. RefSeq lists it as uncharacterized. The record is from RefSeq and is a predicted model, not a curated record. NCBI's taxonomy places the organism in Eukaryota, Metazoa, Arthropoda, Insecta, Diptera, Culicidae. The transcript is spliced from 2 exons.
CGUGUUGCCCGUUGUUCCCCUAAUAGUGAAAAUCGCAAGAAUUUUUUUCCUGAAGCACGUAAAACAGACUUUAGUGUACUUUAGUGUACUCACGAACUGAUAACUACGAUGUUGUCUUCGUCCCGAUCAGCUGGGUCUGCAUAAUUUUUCUCUCUCUUAGAAUAGAAUUGCAUAACAAGGUCGAGUACGAAGUUGGCCCGCAUGCGCACGAAAUUUUCAAUUUCAUUGAGACAUGUGCCACAGGUUGCGGGGAGAUAUAUGUAUAAAAAGGGCAAAUAUAGUACUUUUUGAAAUAUUUUAAUAAUAUUUUUUAUAAUCGUCACUGUGAUUCGUAAGUUUUAAUAUUAUCAGCACACAGAGAGUGAACUUCCAAAAGUAUGAAAAUUGGCAAUAUCUCAAUCUAUCUUUAUUCCAUUUUUUUUUCAAACGGCUGGAGAGCAAACCUUGACCUCAGCUCAAAUAUUAGCUAUCAUCGUGGUUGUGCAUUUUGUCGUCAUCGGCUUCGUGAAUUGCUCGGCAAGAAUAUCCCAAUUCAGUUGAGCAGAAUGUGCUUCAUAUUAUUCUACGGGUUAUGACUACACCACAGACAUCGCGGUCUUGAAGUUGUUCCAUUUUGAGGCUGUUUAGAAGUAAACGAACAUUUGUUUGUGCACCGUUCAAUUUUGACUUAUCUUUUAUCUAAGGUAUUAUAAAAAGCGGAACUGAAGAGUCAGAUAUUAUAUAAUUGAAGACGACCCGCUGCAUAUAGGAAACGGGAGAGAGAGAAACUAGAACAUAGAGAGUCCAACUAACCAGCUGGUAGAGCGCUAUCAUGACUUCACCAAAAAUUUCUGCUGACAAAAGUUCAUCGAAUGCGACUAAGCAAAAUGCUGUUGAUUCUAGCCAGGAGGGUGCCGCAGAGAGUAGUGCACCUGAUAACGCUAUUGGCGUUGUUCCGGUCGGCGAUGGGAUACGAGAUGCAGGACCAUAUGGUGUUUUCAGCUGGAUGAAAGUUUUCCGUUUUGCCAAUUUGAUGAUCAAACAAGGAUGCUAAGAAAAAAGUAGCAAAGAUGGCUAAGUAUACUUUCGUGCUAUAAUAAAUAAAAUUAACAAUUUCCUAUUUAUAGAGAGAAUUUCAUGCAGCGUAGGGUUAGAUCCGUUUCUUGUUUUUGAAUAAGUAAUAUUUAAAAGAUUGUAAUAGAAACAGAUAAACACCAGAUAGAUUGUGAGUAUGUGGUAUUUAAAAUAAAGAUUCUAUCAAUGAAUAGUCCUACUUAAUGCAAA